UAUGUUCUUCGUGAACAUGGCGUACUGCUCAGUAACACGUGGAUAACCUGCCCUUGGGACCGGCAUAACCCCGGGAAACUGGGGAUAAUUCCGGAUACCGCAUAUAUGCUGGAAUGCUUUAUGCGUAAAAUGGAUUCGUCUGCCCAAGGAUGGGUCUGCGGCCUAUCAGGUAGUAGUGGGUGUAAUGUACCUACUAGCCAACGACGGGUACGGGUUGUGAGAGCAAGAGCCCGGAGAUGGAUUCUGAGACAUGAAUCCAGGCCCUACGGGGCGCAGCAGGCGCGAAAACUUUACAAUGCGGGAAACCGUGAUAAGGGGACACCGAGUGCCAGCAUCAUAUGCUGGCUGUCCGGGUGUUUAAACUACACCUGUUAGCAAGGGCCGGGCAAGACCGGUGCCAGCCGCCGCGGUAACACCGGCGGCCCGAGUGGUGAUCGUGAUUAUUGGGUCUAAAGGGUCCGUAGCCGGUUUGGUCAGUCCUCCGGGAAAUCUGACGGCUUAACCGUUAGGCUUUCGGGGGAUACUGCCAGGCUUGGAACCGGGAGAGGUAAGAGGUACUACAGGGGGUAGGAGUGAAAUCUUGUAAUCCCUGUGGGGACCACCUGUGGCGAAGGCGUCUUACCAGAACGGGUUCGACGGUGAGGGACGAAAGCUGGGGGCACGAACCGGAUUAGAUACCCGGGUAGUCCCAGCCGUAAACGAUGCUCGCUAGGUGUCAGGCAUGGCGCGACCGUGUCUGGUGCCGCAGGGAAGCUGUGAAGCGAGCCACCUGGGAAGUACGGCCGCAAGGCUGAAACUUAAAGGAAUUGGCGGGGGAGCAC
This 821-nucleotide ribosomal RNA is filed under the name uncultured archaeon. Its description in RNAcentral is "bacterial SSU rRNA". It matches the Rfam family "Archaeal small subunit ribosomal RNA", at positions 61 to 879 of the family's 1478-position model. The record is from RNAcentral.